AAACACAAGUCAGAUUUGAUCAUCCUCUGCAUAGACCCAACCGAAGUAUCUCCACUUCAUCUUCUUCCCCUACAAUGACACAACCCCACUUCAUUGUGAUAACCUAUCCGGCACAAGGCCACAUCAACCCUUCUCUCCAACUGGCUAAGCGCCUCAUACGUGUUGGUGCCCAUGUCACAUUCGUCACUAGCACCUAUGCCAGUGAGCGCAUGGCCAAAACCCCAACCAUGGAUGGGUUAAAAUUCGUCACAUUCCCGGAUGGCUGCGACAGUGGCCUCAAGCAAAGCGAUGCCCUCCAAGGCUUCAUGUCUGAGCUUGAGCGUCUUGGCUCCCAAGCUCUUACCGACCUCCUCAUAGCCAGCGCUAAUGAAGGUCGUCCCGUUGCUUGCAUAAUCUACGGCAUCCUGAUUCCUUGGGUAGCAGAGGUGGCGCAUAGUCUUCACAUCCCCUCCGCACUUUUUUGGAGUCAACCUGUCUCUGUUUUUAAUAUCUAUUAUUAUUAUUUUUGUGGCUAUGGAGAGCUCAUUCGCAAGAAAGUCCGUGACUCCUCGCCUUCCAUUGAAUUACCAGGACUGCCCUUGCUCAGUAGCCGUGACAUUCCCUGUUUCCUACUCCCCUCAAAUGCAAAUGAAUACAACUUCGUCCUUUCAGCGUUUGAGAAGCACCUAGAGAUGCUCCACCGUGAUACCAACCCAACGGUACUGAUAAACACUUUCGAUGCAUUGGAACCAGAGGCCCUAAGGGCCGUCAGUAAGUUUAAGUCGAUUGGAGUUGGACCCUUGUUUCCAACCGCUUUCUUGGGUGGAAAAGAUCCAUCCGAUACUUCAUUUGGAGGUGAUCUUUUCCGUCGUUCAAAGGAUUAUAUUGAAUGGCUGAACUCAAAGCCUGAAUCUUCUGUCAUUUACGUGUCAUUUGGAAGCCUAGCGGUGUUAUCGAAGCAACAGUCUGAGGAGAUUGCUCGUGGAUUGCUGGACAGUGGCCGGCCUUUCCUGUGGGUCAUAAGAGCCAAGGAGAAGGGAGAAGAAGAGAAAGAAGAAGAUAAACUAAGUUGCUACGCAGAAUUAGAACAACAAGGGAUGAUAGUACCAUGGUGUUCUCAGGUUGAGGUUCUCUCAAAUCCAUCACUGGGUUGUUUCGUGACUCAUUGUGGGUGGAAUUCAACCUUGGAGAGCUUGGCUUCUGGGGUGCCAGUUGUGGCAUUUCCUCAGUGGACCGACCAAUCCACGAAUGCAAAGCUAGCCGAAGACGUGUGGAAAACGGGUGUACGGGUGACCGUGAACCAAGAAGGAAUAGUUGAAAGCGAUGAGAUUAAGAGGUGCUUGGAAUUGGUCAUGGGAGAUGGAGAGGAGGCGAAAGAAAUGAGAAGGAAUGCAAAGAAAUGGAAGGGUUUGGCAAGGGAGGCUGUGAUGGAAGGUGGAUCAUCUGACAAGAAUCUUAAGAAUUUUAUGGAUGAGGUCAUACAAGGUUACUAGCUAGAUAUUGUGGUUGUAUCUCUUGGAGUUUAUGUUAAGACUCCCCGAUUAAUUUAAAUAUUUUACAAGAAGAUUUUUAUUAUUUAUGAUGUUAAUACAAGUAGUAGUAUUAAUUAAUGGUAGAGGGCAUAUCUAAAAUUAUGGGAGAUUCAUUGCUUCCUGAAGGCCCUAUCACAAAGGAUCUGUCAAAUGCGUGGCUAAGGUGCUGUUUGGUAAAUGUCCGUUACCAGCCAAAAUUUUGCAAUUAUUGCUAAUGGGAAUCAGGGAAACCCCAAACUGGCCUUGAUGGUCCUUGCGUAAAGACCCAUCCAAUUCUUUACAUUGUGGCCACUGAUUUGGUGUCUUAUCCUCUCAUGCCCAUCACUUCAUGUUUACAAAUUGAUAUUGUAUUCAUAGCUAUUUUUGAUGAAGGUUCAAUUGGCAAGAAGUAUUUUUGCCUUGGGAAGAUGUUGGUUAUGGAUUCAAAGCAAAAUAACAGAUUAAAAAAAUGAUCCUUGUACAAAUUUUUGGGUGCCUCUAUUAAUUAAGUGAAUAUUAUUAUUUAAUUGAUAAAUUAAUAAUUUAUUAAUUUAAUUACUUAUUAAUUAAAUCUCUGGAAUAAUUCUAUUAUGGAACCUAUCUUGCACUAAGAAGCAUCCAUAGCGAUAAUAAUAUUAAAUAAAUUUUUGUUAUAGUACGAGAAUGUUACAUCAGACCUUUUUUUUUUUUUUUUUUUUUUCAUAUUAGGAAUAGUUGAAGAUGAGAUUCAAGUAAACAUCAGUUUUAAGAAGAAAUAACACAUAUAUUUUAAGAAGGAUUCUUGAUAAAACAUAUGAAUUUAAUUACACAUUAGAAAAUUAUUAAUUUCUAUAAUAUGUGGAUUUUAUAUGAAACUACAUAGAUUUUUUAUUUUAUAAAUUUAUCAAAUUAUUAGUUUAGCACGGUGGCCCCAAGUUUAGAUUAAUUAAAAAAAAUUAAUUGAAGUUCUUAAUUAAUUAAAUAUUAAAUUAUUAUAAAGUUUUAUUGUAUUUUAUUUUCAUGGUUCUAAAAAUUGGAUUGAACUAGUCGAUUUGAUUGGUUUGAGCAUUGAUUGACUAUGUAUUUUACAUAUGAGAUCGAUUAUGAGUUGCACUUUCAUCCCAAGGUAUUUUAAAAUUAGGAAAAUCAAUCCCAAGGUAUCUAUUUUUCUUUUCUUAGUCUAUUCACUAUUGUCCAAACACUCCAUAUGUGGAAUGUGGAAUGUAACUUGGAGGGGCUUGAAUAUGCAGAGUUUUAUAACUUUGCACAUUAAUGUCUCAAAGUGUUAAAAUCUUUUACAACUAAUUGUAGAUAAGUUUAGUAUUGACAAAUAAUUUUAUUACAAUUAAAUAAAAUAUUAGAAUUUUUUUAUUAUCCUACUAAUUUUAUGACAAUCAAAUUUAUACAAAAGUAAUUCUUGGUGUCUCGUGUUACUAAAAACAGAAACUCACUUAAGAACUCAUCACGCCUUUGGUGGAGAAAGAUACUUCAUGGGAUGCUAGUAUUAAUUCUCAAGCAGUGGACCUAGGUGAGAGUAAGAAGAAAACCAAAAUAGUAGAACACUCAUCUAAAUUGUCCCAAAAAAAUGGAGGACAAAAUUCCCAAGAAAGUUCAAUAAACAAGUACAAGAAAAGCCAUGAAAGCCCAUUAUUUUUGGAAACAAUGUCAAAUAUUGAAGAAAUUGUCAAAGCAAAAUAUUGAACUUUCAACUUUAGGCACUUAAACAUACUAAUAAGGGGGGGAAUGAACAUAUUACAUAUGACAGUCCUUUAUCGUCGUAUUGACUUUUUUGAUAUGGUGGUAAAGUAUGAAGUGCUUGCAAGAGGGCUAUUAUCAUAUAUGGAAAAUGAUGAGAAAUCCAUACUAUAUAUGGUGAGCUAGAAAAGAAAAAGGCAAGCUAGUGAAAAGAUGCAAAGCCUUGCACUCUAGUUACAAGACGAGUUGCUUUUGUUUGAGGUGCACUUCUACUCACCCAUUAGCCAUAAAUGUAUGCAUUAUUCACAUGCAUUCACUUGGGUCAAGCAUUUUAAUUGUUCAUCUUCAUUACCAAAAAGAAUAAGUUAUUAGCUAGCUAGGUGAUAGAUGAGAAAUAUGUAUCAAGUUAGAAAAAUGCUAAGUUACAUAAUAGGUAUCACACUGAAUUCUAAAUUUGAGCUACUAAUGUGUGGAACAAAACAUGGAUUGUAAAAUACCAAUACUAAAAGAUGAGACUUAGAUAUAAAGAAAUAAAAUAAAAUAAAGUAGAAAAAAAAUAUAAUCUUAGUAUAAUUAAUAAAUAGAAACUUGUUAGAUGCAUGAACAAAAAAGAUCAUUUUUCCACAUAUAUUGACUUUUUGUCAGCUAUCCCUUUUUUUUAUGAGGUAUGGAAAGCAAUUUCCCUAUCAUAGAAUGAUUAAUAAAUGCAUGGGAAAAUAAUUGAACACAUUAAUGAGAUUCAAAUUCAAGAUUCAUAAGCCAAGGUACCUAUUAAAAGCUGCUAGUUGACCUAUAAGUUUAAGCUGAUAGAAAAAUAAUGAUAUCAAGCUUACCAGGAUUAGAUGAAGGGAUUAUAAAAAAGAUAAAAAUAAAAUUAUUGUGUGCAUUCCAAGAAUAGCGACUUGUGAUUGUAUGAGUGGGUGCAAAAAGUGAAGUUAGCCUAUAAGAUUCAUUUCUCCAAUCCUCUCAACAAAGACCACUAGACUGCUAAAGAAUUAUUUGCUACUACAAAUGAGCAACUCCAUCAAGAAGCUAAGGAAUGGCUAAUGCUUACCAUAGAGAAUUGCACCACUCUUUCUAUUUUCAUAGCCACUGUUGCCUUUGCUACAACCUACAUGGUACCAGAGUAAAAAACUUAGAGAUAUGAAGAAAAGAAGAGAUGCGGAGCACCUAUUUGAGAGAAAAUCGGAGAGAUAAAAACUAAAAAAAUUGAACAACUUAGUAUCAUUGAUAAGAACUUUGUUUCUUAUAUACAAAUAUUCAGAAAUUAGUUACAAACAACUGAUUACUACUCAAAAAGUGCUAUUUGAUAGCUUAUAAUUAAUCCUUUUAAACACUUUUGAGUAGUAGUUUUGGCCUUUUAACUCAAUUGGCAUGUUAAGGACCCUUGAAAGCAAUUUUAAUCACUUUGUGUAAGUUUUGGUGUUUUUGUUAGUAUUUUGAUCACCAAAGCAAUUCAAGAUUGAGGAGAAUUUUGAGGAAUCUUGGGCAAAGAUUGGAAGUCAUUUGCCAAGAGUAAAUCCGAAGUGCAAGGAGAAAAAGUAAAGAGAAUCUGCCAUGAAGCAUAUUCUUGAUGACAGUCGUGGCAGCCACUUUUGGAGCACUUUCUGAAGUCCAAUUGAUGCAUGCUAUAUACCAUUUCAAAGAUCAGGAAGUCAACAAUCUAAUGCUUCAAACGGUGCACAAUUCGGAGUUGAAACGAAGAAGUUGCAGCCAUUGCAAGCCAAUCACUCCAAGCUGAAGGAAGCAUUUUCCAAAGUGUUGCGAAAUCACCCUUUUGUUGCGAAGUGAUUUCGCAGCAUUUUUGUACAGUAUGGUGUAUUUCCUCCUGAAGUUGCCCGAUAUAUGCCGCAAGCUGGAAGCUGAGAGCAUCAAGGUAGAAGCCAACUUCGCAGCCCUGCGAAGAUAGCAUGUUGUUGCGAAAUGAUUUCGCAGCCCUUCUUGAGUGUCUGCGAAAUCUCGCAGACACCAUUUUCUCUUGCGGAAUGGUUCCUGGAGCAUCCCGAUAUUUGCUACCGACAUUGGGAGAUAUUUUACAUCAGAUUUUUGUUGUCUAAAUCCCAAAAUACUCCUUGUAAGCCACCAAUUACAAGAUUCCUUAGCUUUAAGUUAGUAAAAAGAGAAAAUAUCUAUGUAAUAAUUAGUUUUAUAUUAUGUUCAUAUAAAUACCUCUCGGGAGCCUGUUCUCAGAGAGAGCCUUUUGUAAAGUUUUAGGUAAGCAAGUAAAGUUCAGUUCUUUGUAUUACCUUACCUUCUCACUUUGUAUAUUUUAUUUUCUUACUAAGUUAUGAACUCUCUGAGGAGUUUUCCCCAGAGAAUGAGUAACUAAACCUCUAAUUCCUUGGAGCUAAGGUUGCCGGGGAAGGUUCCAAGUGCAAGAAUGCAAAGCUUUGUGGUUUUAGCUAGUAAUGAAGAGGAAGUGAAAUCCUUUAGUGAUUUCUAUGUUUUUAGUUAACUUAAAACACCUUAGAGUCAUCUGGGCCAACACUUGGUAAGGCAAGUGAUUUCCAACCAUGGAAAUGCACUAGUUUACCCUUUGCGAGCCUCUGGAAGGUGACUUUAGGGUAGGAUUUUCUAGAAUAGCCAACACUUGGUAAGCUUUUGGACUCCAAGGAGACAUCCAUUAGUUAUCUCUUGCGAGCUUUUGAAGGGAAGUCCAAGGUUAAAGAUCAUCUUGAAUGGUAAGUGCUCGUGAGAGGCAUGAACCAUUGCAAGUUGUAUCAAUGAGAGAAUUAAAGUUGAAAUCCAAUUAAAGGAUGUAUCUGUACAACACCGGUUAGAGAAUUGACUAUAUGUUGAAUCUCUAACGCGAGGAAAGGAACCAUCUGACCGGAGCUAUGUCUUUUGCAUGAGGAACCACCCCAGUGAACCUAACUCUCCAAGGAAUGCUUUUCUUCCUAAGUUAUUCCGAGUACUUGUUAUGUUAGUUAGUUUAAAUCUUUACCAAUCAAAGUUUGUGUUUUAUUUCUUAAGCUAACCUUGAAAUGAAACAAGACCAAUUCACUUGGAAUUGGUAUCAUUGAUAGCUUGCUAAUCCUUCCCAGUGAACGAUCCUAGAGCCGUUAUACUAUAGUAGCUUUUUCUUUGCUACCCUAGUAUAUGGUGUUAUAGGUUAUAAAUUUUGUUGAUUACUCCCUCUAUCAAGGAGCACCAGUUGGACACGAAUCAGCUGAGACACCAAUUGGGCACGAAUCAAAUGGCGCCGUUGCCGGGGAAUGUGUCAAUUUUAUAGCGAUACCAUUUUUUAGCACUUGUGAUUGUCAUCACAAGUUUGGUAACGUUUCUUUCACUUUACUAAUUCUCAUUCUUUCUUUAUUUAUUCAUAAUCCAAGUUUAUCUUUUAAAUUCAGCUUAGUUUAAUUUUGUUUUUCGUAGCCCUGUUUUCUUUUGUUGUCCUUUAUUUUCAUUUUAGUUGCAGAUAGAUACUAGUUGUGUAUGCCAAAUUGGAUACGAGACAGUGGAGGAAGACUUGUUAAGUGUGAUACACCUCAUAACAAAGAAUUUGAGUUGAGCUUGAAUAUCAUGGAAACUACACCUGAAGAUCAGCAUAGUCACCAAGGUCGUCAAGACAAUCUCAAUGAAUUCAGAUCAAUGAGGGACCGUAUGCAUCCACCUCGUAUGAGUGCACCAUCAUGUAUAGUGCCCCCUACAGAGCAGCUAGUGAUCAGACCGUAUCUCGUUCCACUUCUACCAACUUUCCAUGGGAUGGAAAGUGAGAAUCCGUAUGCAUACAUCAAGGAAUUUGAAGAUGUUUGUAAUACAUUCCAAGAGGGAGGAGCUUCAAUUGAUUUGAUGAGGCUUAAGUUAUUUUCUUUUACUUUAAAGGAUAAAGCCAAAAUUUGGCUUAAUUCUUUAAGGCCAAGGAGUAUCCGUUCUUGGACUGACUUACAAGCUGAAUUCCUCAAGAAAUUUUUUCCCACUCAUAGAACAAAUGGCUUGAAAAGGCAAAUUUCAAACUUCUCAGCUAAAGAGAAUGAGAAAUUCUAUGAGUGUUGGGAAAGAUACAUGGAAGCUAUAAAUGCUUGUCUUCACCAUGGCUUUGAUACUUGGCUAUUGGUGAGUUAUUUUUAUGAUGGUAUGUCCUCCUCAAUGAAGCAACUCCUCGAGACAAUGUGUGGAGGAGAUUUCAUGAGUAAAAAUCCAGAGGAAGCUAUGGAUUUCUUGAGCUAUGUAGCUGAUGUUUCAAGGGGAUGGGAUGAACCAACCAAAGGAGAAGUGGGGAAGAUGAAGUCUCAACUGAGUGCUUUCAAUGCAAAGGCUGGGAUGUAUACCUUGAAAGAAGAUGAUGAUAUGAAAGCAAAAUUGGCAGCUAUGACAAGAAGAUUGGAGGAGCUGGAGCUGAAAAGAAUACAUGAAGUGCAAGCUGUUGCUGAAGCACCAGUGCAAGUGAAGCUGUGUCCCAAUUGUCAAUCAUAUGAACAUUUGGUGGAGGAAUGCCCUACAAUUUCAGCUGAAAGGGAGAUGUUUAAAGAUCAAGCAAAUGUUGUUGGACAAUUCAGGCCCAAUAACAAUGCGCCUUAUGGAUAUACCUACAACUCAAGUUGGAGGAAUCAUCCAAAUUUCUCAUGGAAGGCCAGAGCAACUCAAUACCAACAGCCGGAUCCACCACCUCAACAAACUUCAAGUCUUGAUCAAGCAAUGGCUAAUCUCAGCAAGGUAGUGGGAGAUUUUGUUGGAAAGCAAGAAGCCACCAAUGCUCAAAUCUAUCAAAGAAUUGAUAGAGUAGAGAGUAUGUUGAAUAAUAUGAUGGAUGGAAUGCAAAAUGAUAUGAACCAAAAGUUUGAUAACAUCCAAUAUUCAAUUUCAAGGCUUACAAAUUUGAAUACACUGCAAGAAAAGGGAAGAUUUCCUUCUCAACCCCACCAAAACCCCAAAGGUGUCCAUGAAGUGGAAAGCUAAGAGGGAGAAUCAUCACAGAUGAAAGAUGUCAAAGCCUUGAUCACUCUAAGGAGUGGUAAAAAAAUUGAGCAGCCAACACCCAAGCCACAUGUUGAGAAAGAAGAAGAAAUAAAGAAAGGGAAGGAAAUGAAAGAUAAAGACAGUGAGGUCAGUGAAGAAAAGAAGGACUCUGAUUCAACAAUGAAUGCAAUUCCAGAGAAGGAACUUAUGAAGGAAGAAAUGCUGAAGAAAUCAACUUCUCCACCUUUUCCUCAAGCAUUACAUGGGAAAAAGGGGGUUAGAAAUGCAGCUGAAAUCCUUGAAGUAUUGAGACAAGUGAAAGUCAAUAUUCCACUGCUGGAUAUGAUUAAACAAGUUCCAACGUAUGCAAAAUUCCUAAAGGAUUUAUGUACUAUCAAAAGAGGGUUGACUGUAAACAAGAAAGCCUUAUUGACUGAGCAAGUAAGUGCAAUCUUACAAUGUAAGUCUCCAUUGAAGUACAAAGACCCGGGAAGUCCUACCAUUUUAGUCAUGAUUGGAGGAAAGAUAGUGGAAAAAGCCUUGUUAGAUUUGGGAGCAAGUGUGAAUUUGCUUCCAUAUUCCGUCUAUAAGCAAUUGGGACUUGGUGAGUUGAAGCUAAUAGCAAUCACUCUAUCUCUAGCAGAUAGAUCAGUAAAAAUUCCAAGGGGGGUAAUUGAGGAUGUCUUGGUUCAAGUGGAUAAUUUCUACUAUCCAGUAGAUUUUAUUGUUCUUGAUACAGAUCCUACUGUAAAGGAAGCUAAUUUAGUUCCUAUCAUCCUUGGAAGGCCAUUUCUUGCUACCUCAAAUGCAAUCAUCAACUGCAGGAAUGGGCUGAUGCAACUCACUUUUGGCAACAUGACACUGGAUCUCAAUAUUUUCUAUAUGUCUAAAAAGCAAAUCACUCCGGAAGAAGAAGAGGGUCCAGAAGAGCUGUGCAUUAUUGAUACUUUGGUGGAGGAGCACUGUAAUCAAAAUAUGCAAGACAAGUUGAAUGAAAGUCUUGUGAAUUUUGAGGAAGGUUUGUCUGAAUCUCCUACUGUGCUUGCUACUCUACAAAGUUGGAGAAAGAUAGAAGAGAUUCUACCUUUGUUCAAUGAAGAAGAAGAGGCAGCUGCUGAAAAAGAAAUUCCAAAAUUCAAUCUGAAGCCUCUACCUGUGGAGCUGAAAUAUACAUAUCUUGAAGAAAAUAAUCAAUGUCCUGUUGUAAUAUCUUCAUCUCUGACCAGUCAUCAGAAGAAUUGUUUAAUGGAAGUUCUCAAGAGGUGUAAGAGGGCAAUAGGAUGGCAAAUAUCCGACUUGAAAGGCAUUAGUCCUUUAGUUUGUACUCAUCAUAUAUAUAUGGAGGAGGAAGCAAAGCCAAUUCGUCAACUUCAAAGAAGGUUGAAUCCUCAUCUACAAGAGGUGGUGCGAGCUAAGGUGCUGAAGCUACUUCAGGCAGGAAUCAUUUACCCUAUAUCUGAUAGCCCUUGGGUGAGUCCUACUCAAGUGGUACCAAAGAAGUCAGGGAUCACAGUGGUUCCGAAUGAAAAAGGAGAAGAAGUUACUACACGCCUCACUUCAGGUUGGAGGGUGUGUAUUGAUUAUAGAAAGUUGAAUGCUGUAACCAGGAAGGAUCAUUUUCCAUUGCCAUUUAUUGACCAAGUGCUGGAGAGAGUCUCUGGACAUCCAUUCUAUUGUUUCUUGGAUGGGUAUUCAGGGUAUUUUCAGAUUGAAAUUGAUGUGGCAGAUCAGGAAAAGACCACUUUUACAUGUCCAUUUGGAACAUAUGCUUACAGGAGAAUGCCUUUUGGUUUAUGCAAUGCACCUGCUACAUUUCAAAGAUGUAUGUUGAGUAUUUUCAGUGAUAUGGUGGAACGAAUUAUGGAGGUUUUCAUGGAUGACAUCACUGUAUAUGGAGGUACAUUUGAGGAAUGCUUAGUUAAUUUGGAAGCAGUUCUUCACAGAUGCAUUGAAAAAGAUCUGGUGCUCAACUGGGAGAAAUGUCAUUUUAUGGUACGUCAAGGAAUUGUCCUUGGUCAUAUCAUCUCUAAAAGAGGCAUUGAAGUUGAUAAAGCAAAGGUGGAGCUUAUUGUCAAAUUACCAUCCCCAACAACUGUAAAAGGAGUAAGGCAGUUCCUUGGCCAUGCAGGGUUCUAUAGGAGAUUUAUAAAAAGGUUUUUCAAGUCUUUCAAAACCUCUUUGUGAGCUGUUAGCUAAGGAUGCUAAAUUUAUAUGGGAUGAAAGGUGUCAGAAUAGCUUUGAUCAACUGAAGAAAUUUUUAACAGCAACUCCAAUAGUGAGAGCCCCUAACUGGCAAUUACCUUUUGAACUGAUGUGUGAUGCCAGUGACUUUGCUAUAGGAGCUGUGCUUGGCCAAAGGGAAGAUGGGAAGCCCUAUGUGAUUUACUAUGCAAGUAAAACACUGAAUGAAGCUCAAAGGAACUACACAACUACAGAGAAAGAAUUGUUAGCUGUGGUAUUUGCUUUGGACAAAUUUCGUGCUUAUUUAGUGGGGUCUUUCAUCAUUGUCUUUACUGACCAUUCAGCCUUGAAGUAUUUAUUGACAAAGCAAGAUGCAAAAGCAAGGUUGAUUAGAUGGAUUCUUUUGUUACAAGAAUUCGAUCUUCAAAUCAAAGAUAAGAAAGGAGUGGAGAAUGUGGUAGCUGACCACCUUUCCAGGUUAGUUAUAGCACAUAAUUCCCAUCCCUUGCCUAUUAAUGAUGAUUUUCCUGAAGAAUCACUCAUGUUCUUAGUGAAAACUCCUUGGUAUGCUCAUAUUGCUAAUUAUUUAGUAACUGGUGAAAUUCCAAGUGAGUGGAAUGCACAGGACCGGAAGCACUUCUUUGCCAAAAUUCAUGCUNNNNNNNNNNNNNNNNNNNNNNNNNNNNNNNNNNNNNNNNNNNNNNNNNNNNNNNNNNNNNNNNNNNNNNNNNNNNNNNNNNNNNNNNNNNNNNNNNNNNCCCUAACUGGCAAUUACUUUUGAACUGAUGUGUGAUGCCAGUGACUUUGCUAUAGGAGCUGUGCUUGGCCAAAGGGAAGAUGGGAAGCCCUAUGUGAUUUACUAUGCAAGUAAAACACUGAAUGAAGCUCAAAGGAACUACACAACUACAGAGAAAGAAUUGUUAGCUGUGGUAUUUGCUUUGGACAAAUUUCGUGCUUAUUUAGUGGGGUCUUUCAUCAUUGUCUUUACUGACCAUUCAGCCUUGAAGUAUUUAUUGACAAAGCAAGAUGCAAAAGCAAGGUUGAUUAGAUGGAUUCUUUUGUUACAAGAAUUCGAUCUUCAAAUCAAAGAUAAGAAAGGAGUGGAGAAUGUGGUAGCUGACCACCUUUCCAGGUUAGUUAUAGCACAUAAUUCCCAUCCCUUGCCUAUUAAUGAUGAUUUUCCUGAAGAAUCACUCAUGUUCUUAGUGAAAACUCCUUGGUAUGCUCAUAUUGCUAAUUAUUUAGUAACUGGUGAAAUUCCAAGUGAGUGGAAUGCACAGGACCGGAAGCACUUCUUUGCCAAAAUUCAUGCUUAUUAUUGGGAAGAGCCCUUUCUUUUUAAGUAUUGUGCAGAUCAGAUCAUAAGGAAGUGUGUUCCUGAAGAUGAGCAGCAAGGGAUUCUAUCUCAUUGUCAUGAGAAUGCAUGUGGAGGCCACUUUGCCUCUCAGAAAACAGCUAUGAAGGUGUUGCAAUCAGGGUUUACUUGGCCAUCUCUUUUCAAAGAUGCCCACAUCAUGUGUAGAAGUUGUGACAGAUGCCAAAGGCUUGGAAAGCUAACAAAAAGAAAUCAAAUGCCUAUGAACCCCAUUCUAAUAGUUGAGCUAUUUGAUGUAUGGGGCAUUGACUUCAUGGGACCUUUCCCAAUGUCUUUUGGUAAUUCUUACAUCUUGGUGGGGGUGGAUUAUGUUUCUAAAUGGGUUGAGGCAAUCCCCUAUAAACAAAAUGAUCACAGGGUGGUUCUCAAGUUUCUUAAAGAGAACAUUUUCUCAAGAUUUGGGGUGCCCAAAGCCAUAAUCAGUGAUGGAGGUGCUCAUUUUUGCAACAAACCUUUUGAAGCUCUGUUAUCCAAGUAUGGAGUGAAGCAUAAGGUGGCUACACCUUAUCAUCCUCAGACUUCCGGGCAAGUUGAGCUAGCUAACAGGGAAAUAAAGAACAUAUUGAUGAAAGUGGUGAAUUCCAGUAGAAAAGAUUGGUCUAUUAGGCUUCAUGAUUCAUUGUGGGCAUAUAGAAUAGCUUAUAAGACUAUUCUUGGGAUGUCUCCUUAUCUUCUUGUCUAUGGCAAAGCAUGCCAUCUCCCUGUGGAAGUUGAAUACAAGGCUUGGUGGGCAAUAAAGAAGUUAAACAUGGAUUUGGUCAGAGCCGGAGAAAAGAGAUAUCUAGACCUUAAUGAGAUGGAGGAAUUAAGAAAUAAUGCUUAUAUCAAUUCCAAAGUUGCAAAACAGAGGAUGAAGAAGUGGCAUGAUCAACUCAUCUCCAACAAGGAAUUUCAGGAAGGGCAAAGAGUUUUACUGUAUGACACAAGACUCCAUAUCUUUCCUGGGAAGCUCAAGUCAAGGUGGAUAGACCCGUUCAUUAUUCACCGAGUAUAUUCCAAUGGAGUGGUGGAAUUAUUGAAUUCAAAUGGCAAGGAUAGCUUUAGAGUCAAUGGAUAUCGUCUCAAGCCAUUCAUGGAUCCAUUCAAACCAGAAAAGGAGGAAAUCAACCUCCUUGAGCCUCGAAAAGCCUAAGCAAAGAAGGGUUUGCUGGACGUGGUUUACCACAGUCCAAAAUUUUUGUAAAUUUUGUAAAUUUUCAAGUUUUUUUUCCAUACAUUUGAUCUUAGUUUUUGAUCUUAAAUCAUGUUUUUAGGUGUGUUUUAAUCUUUUUGAAUGAUCCCAGGUGGAAGAAAUUGCAAGGAAAUUGAAAGGAAAAGAAUCGGAUAAAAAACAGAGCAAAAACAGAGCAAAAAACAGAGCUCUGCGAGAUUUCGCAGCCUCUGCGAAAUCAGCACUAUGCUGCAAAACCAUUCCGCAACACUUUGGAGUUCUCUGCGAGAAUUUUCGCAGCUGCGAAGGCGAUUUUGGCACACGAGUGCCACUUUGCAGCACAGGAGCCCUCAUUUGGCAGCUGCGAAACGCAUUGCGAAGUGGUAAAGCCUGAUUUCGCACCAAAAGUCCCAUUCCGCAGGGUAUUUUGCAAUUGCGAAAGCGAUUUUGGCACACGUGUGCCACUUCGCAGCACAGUAACAUUAAUUUCGCAGCUGCGAAAUGCAUUGCGAAGUUGCUGCGAAAAUGACAUUUUGCUGCGAAAUUGGCAUUUUGCUGCGAAACUCAAACUGACCCUUAGUCUUCCCUUAUUCCUAUUUAUACCGGUCAUUUGAGUUGCGAAAAGGGUUUCAAAAUCAGAGCGCGCCAUUCUCGCAGACCGUCCAUCUCCUUCUUCAAGCCUCACCGCGCAAGCCUCCGGUCAUCUUCUCCGACCAUCCGUUCCGGCCAAACUUCGGUAAUCCGAAAUGGCGCGAACAAGAGGGGCUAAGUCUCCAUCUCCUUCGAGCCGCAAGAGAAGCUUGCGAAAGGAACCAGUUCCAGAUCCUAUCCCUGACCCUCCGCAGCCGAAAGCAAUUCCUCCUCCGGUGAAGCCCGCGCUGCCAAAGCCUCCGGUAAAGCCCGCGCCGCCAAAACCUCCGGCAAAACGAUACCUAACCAGGUCAGGGGGUCGGCCACUGCAAAAGAAACCCAGGGUGGAGAGCUUAGAACCCAUCGAUUUGACUGAGCAAUCUCCAGAGCCCUCGCCGGCUCCAACUCCAGUUCCCUCGCCAAUUCAGCCUCCGGUGCCAUCUCCGACGCCGCAAGCAAAAUCUCAGGAGACUCAAGCGCCACUUCCCGAGCCCCAAAUUCCAUCUGAAAUAGCUCCGGAAGAAGUAAUCAGGAGGCCGAUGCUGACCCAGCUCCCAAUUGAGGGAAAUUUGGAUUGUAGAACUCGGCCAUUCCACUCCGAGCUAGGCUUUGACAUAUCUACAUUCCAAUUGCAGCCGGAGCUUGCACAGUCAUUCAACCUUCUAAGAAGGUACCAUAUGGAGCAUCUGCUGACUCCGAGAGACUUUUUCUACCCAAGGGUGGCCAUGGAUUUCUAUCAAUCCAUGACAACCAACCAGGUCAGGGAUCCAACUUUAAUUCAUUUCACUAUUGAUGGGAGGCAUGGCAUAUUGGGAGCACGCCAUAUAGCUGAAGCCUUGCAAAUUCCCUAUGAGCCGACCCAAUUCGAUAAUUUUAGAGCUUGGACCAAUCCUACUGAGCUGGAGAUGGUGCGCACCCUAUCCAGAGGAGCUGCCAAUCGAUCAUAUCUGUUGAGGGGGGAGCUUCCUCCAAUCAUGUUUUUGAUUGAUGCAUUUUUGCGUCAUAACCUCUACCCAUUGCAGCAUUGGACUCAAAGAAGAGGAGUCCUCUUAGAAGCCCUGUACAAGAUGUCUGAAGGAUUUUUCUUUGGGCCUCAUCAUCUGAUUCUGGCAGCCCUUCUCUAUUUCGAAGAGAAGGUACACAAAAAGAAGCUUCAGAGAGCUGAUUGCAUUCCCCUCCUCAUUCCAAGGCUGCUAUGCCAAAUUCUGGAGCACUUGGGGUAUCCUUCUGAACCUCAAUUGGAGCGCAAACGCAUUUGCCGUGAGCUUUUCACUCUUAACAAAUGGAACAACAUGACAGCUUAUCGAGUUGACCAGCCUGAGCGCCCACAGCCAGCUGUAAGGAGAGCAUCCCCACGACACAUACCUGAGGGUAUAACAGUUGCUGCUCCUGCCAUUUGCAGAGCUCCACCAGCUGCUCCAGCUUCAUCUCAGCCAUCCACUUCAGCUGAGCCGAGGAUGGCCAUACCCAUUUCUGAAUAUCGAGAGUUGUGCCGUGCAUUGCAGACCCUCACAGCUUCUCAGAGCAGUCUUGCUCAAGAGAUGGCAGCCAUUAGAGCAUGCCAAGAGCAGAUGUUGGCCACUCAGGCUCAACAAGCUGCCAUCUUAAGGCAGCUCCAGCUUCAUUUCAACCUGCCACCAGCUGUUGAGCCCUCCACUUCUACUCCAGCAGAGCCACACUCUCAUCCCUCAGAGCCUCAAGCCCCAGCUGAAGCACCAACUGAAGAGGCAGAUCCAUCUGCCUAGCCCCAGCACCACCCACUCAUCAGAUCAUUAUAUAUAUAUCUACUAUCUUUGUUUUAUGUAUUUCGUUUUUUAGUUUGAAAGAAAUCCCAUUAUUUUGGUAUUAUAUUUGGGAUUGCUUGUAUUACUUUUCUUUUGCAUUGUACUUAAAUGGAUUCAAAGUAAUACAAGUUUAAUAUUUCUUGUUAACAGUUAGCAUUAAGUUAUCCUUAUUUCCUUUUCUCACAUAUUCUAUUCUUUUUGAAACAUGUGGUUUCUCCAAUUAGUAUGCGAAUUUGAUAUCACACAGGAGGUACCACUUCCUCCCUUUAAUUACAGUCACUCAUAUCACAUUGAGGACAAUGCUCAGUUCGGUUGGGGGGAAUGAGGAAGGAAGUUAUGCUAAAUUAAAGGAAGUAUGCUAAGCCUUUUUAGUAAUGCAAUUAUUUUGGUAAAUUAGUUGUAGUUUUUGUUUUUUACUCUUUUUACUCUAUUCUCCAUGAAUCUUGAGGAAAAAUUUUCAAAUUAAAACAGGAAAAAUUGAACUGUUGUUUUUCACUUGACUUAGAGUAUGGAUUAUGCUCACUAAAGUGGUUCAAUUGUUGAAGCUUCUAUUGAAAUUGAAUUUAGUUCUUCCACUUUAAGCUAUUCACACACUGUGCACAUUAGAUUCCGAUUAUAAGAUGAAAAACUAUUUCCCUCUUGACUUAGGAUAAUUUUGGGACUUGGUAUAUUUGACCUCAUUUGAUAAAAAUUGAAACACCCUGCAAAAGGCCAAUGAGCCUUUGAAAUAAAGAAAGUUGUUUGCUUGCCUUAAAACCCGAGCAAGGUCUGAGAGGUAUAUGGUGAAAAUCUUUGAAGCCUGGUGCCCUAAGCCUUAAUUGGUUGGGAGUCACCGACCUCAAUGCUCGUUACAAGGGUGAAUAGGUAGAGUAGCAUAUGGUAGGUGCUUGGGUAUUAAAAAUUCAUUCUCAAAAGUCCGGGGAAAAAUCCGAGGAGUUAGUGGUUGAAAGAUCCUUAAAGCUUGGUGCCCUAAACCUUAAUUGGUUGGGAGUCAUCGAUGGACCCCCAUUACAUGGACAAUACAGAAAGAGUACCCCAUAAGUUCUUUGUUAAAAAAAAAAAAAAAAAAAAAAAAGUGUGUUCUUUCUUUAUUGAUUUUGGUCAGUUUGCUAAGUGUUGAAAAGAGAUAGGUUGGGGGGAGAGAUUAGUUUAGCAUAUUAUUCUCGGAAGCUAAGGAACCAAUACACAUAGAUUUUUGAGGAAGAAUAAAGUUUGGUUCUUUGAAAGUGGAAAUGAUUUUAAAACUUCAGUUUGCAUAAUGCAUUCCCUUGUUUGACAGUGUUUAGCAUAGUUUGUUAUAACUCUUGUUGAAAUUUGCUUUUAUAUUUCUUUAAGGUUUCAUGAGAGAAUUAGAUCAUCAUGCCACUUGAGAAUUGUUUUUGAUCAGCAUGAUGUUGUAAAUUAUAGUUUAAUUUGUUGUUUAUUUUCAUUUUUCUCUCCUAUAUUGCUAAGGGACUAGCAAUAUGUCGGUUGGGGGGAGUGAUUACUACUCAAAAAGUGCUAUUUGAUAGCUUAUAAUUAAUCCUUUUAAACACUUUUGAGUAGUAGUUUUGGCCUUUUAACUCAAUUGGCAUGUUAAGGACCCUUGAAAACAAUUUUAAUCACUUUGUGUAAGUUUUGGUGUUUUUGUUAGUAUUUUGAUCACCAAAGCAAUUCAAGAUUGAGGAGAAUUUUGAGGAAUCUUGGGCAAAGCUUGGAAGUCAUUUGCCAAGAGUAAAUCCGAAGUGCAAGGAGAAAAAGUAAAGAGAAUCUGCCAUGAAGCAUAUUCUUGAUGACAGUCGUGGCAGCCACUUUUGGAGCACUUUCUGAAGUCCAAUUGAUGCAUGCUAUAUACCAUUUCAAAGCUCAGGAAGUCAAUAAUCUAAUGCUUCAAACGGUGCGCAAUUUGGAGUUGAAACGAAGAAGUUGCAGCCAUUGCAAGCCAAUCACUCCAAGCUGAAGGAAGCAUUUUCCAAAGUGUUGCGAAAUCACCCUUUUGUUGCGAAGUGAUUUCGCAGCAUUUUUGUACAGUAUGAUGUAUUUCCUCCUGAAGUUGCCCGAUAUAUGCCGCAAGCUGGAAGCUGAGAGCAUCAAGGUGGAAGCCAACUUCGCAGCCCUGCGAAGAUAGCAUGUUGUUGCGAAAUGAUUUCGCAGCCCUUCUUGAGUGUCUGCGAAAUCUCACAGACACCAUUUUCUCUUGCGGAAUGGUUCCUGGAGCAUCCCGAUAUUUGCUAUCGACAUUGGGAGAUAUUUUACAUCAGAUUUUUGUUGUCUAAAUCCCAAAAUACUCCUUGUAAGCCACCAAUUACAAGAUUCCUUAGCUUUUAAGUUAGUAAAAAGAGAAAAUAUCUAUGUAAUAAUUAGUUUUAUAUUAUGUUCAUAUAAAUACCUCUCGGGAGCCUGUUCUCAGAGAGAGCCUUUUGUAAAGUUUUGGGUAAGCAAGUAAAGUUCAGUUCUUUGUAUUACCUUACCUUCUCACUUUGUAUAUUUUAUUUUCUUACUAAGUUAUGAACUCUCUGAGGAGUUUUCCCCAGAGAAUGAGUAACUAAACCUCUAAUUCCUUGGAGCUAAGGUUGCCGGGGAAGGUUCCAAGUGCAAGAAUGCAAAGCUUUGUGGUUUUAGCUAGUAAUGAAGAGGAAGUGAAAUCCUUUAGUGAUUUCUAUGUUUUUAGUUAACUUAAAACACCUUAGAGUCAUCUGGGCCAACACUUGGUAAGGCAAGUGAUUUCCAACCAUGGAAAUGCACUAGUUUACCCCUUACGAGCCUCUGGAAGGUGACUUUAGGGUAGGAUUUUCUAGAAUAGCCAACACUUGGUAAGCUUUUGGACUCCAAGGAGACAUCCAUUAGUUAUCUCUUGCGAGCUUUUGAAGGGAAGUCCAAGGUUAAAGAUCAUCUUGAAUGGUAAGUGCUCGUGAGAGGCAUGAACCAUUGCAAGUUGUAUCAAUGAGAGAAUUAAAGUUGAAAUCCAAUUAAAGGAUGUAUCUGUACAACACCGGUUAGAGAAUUGACUAUAUGUUGAAUCUCUAACGCGAAGAAAGGAACCAUCUGACCGAAGCUAUGUCUUUUGCAUGAGGAACCACCCCAGUGAACCUAACUCUCCAAGGAAUGCUUUUCUUCCUAAGUUAUUCCGAGUACUUGUUAUGUUAGUUAGUUUAAAUCUUUACCAAUCAAAGUUUGUGUUUUAUUUCUUAAGCUAACCUUGAAAUGAAACAAGACCAAUUCACUUGGAAUUGGUAUCAUUGAUAGCUUGCUAAUCCUUCCCAGUGAACGAUCCUAGAGUCGCUAUACUAUAGUAACUUUUUCUUUGCUACCCUAGUAUAUGGUGUUAUAGGUUAUAAAUUUUGUUGAUUACUCCCUCUAUCAAGAAGCACCAGCUAGACACGAAUCAGCUGAGACACCAAUUGGGCACGAAUCAACAACUAACAACCUAUUAACUACUUAACAACUCUAACUAACAUCCAACCUCAAGCACAUAGGGUGAGAAAGAACUAUGAGCUUGCUCUAGAGAUGAAGGAAAUGCUGAGUGGAGAGAGCUUUGGUUAAGAUAUCAACAGCUUGGUCUCCAAAUGGAAGAAAUCAAACAUCAAAAGUUUUCUACGGGACUCAUUCUUAAACAAAAUGAUAAUUAAUUUCCACAUGUUUAGCCCGAGAAUGAAGGACAAGAAUUACAGCCAAAUAACAUGAACUAAAACAGGGGAACAAAGGGCUCUUUAAGAAAGGAUUGAAUCUAAGUGAGUACGACCGUUGCAUUGGCCAAGCCCCUAUACUCGGACUCGGUAUAAGAGUGUGAACCACCUUUUGUUUAGAAGCUGACUAAGAGACCAGAUUACCACAAAAAAAAAACAAAAAAAAAAAACAAAACACAGUAGCCACUAGUGCUACGUCUAUCAUUAGGGCAAGAUACCCAAUCGACAUUUGUAUAAGCAACAAGAUUGAGUGAGGAAGAUGGUUGGAAAAAAAAAACCCAUAAAACAACAAACCUUUGAGAUAACAAAUAACAUGCUUCAUAUCUUGAAAAUGAGUAGAGGUUGGAGCAUGCAUAAAUUGGUAAAUCUUAUUAACAGUAUAAGGAGUGUUUGGUCUAGUGAUUUUGCAAUACUGAAGGGCACCUACAAGACUCUAAUAGAAAGUGGGAUCCUCUAAUUUGGUACCAUCAACUAUGAAUAAAACAAGACCAGUAGCCAUUAAAGAAGCAACAAGCUUUGAUUCCAACAAAUCAACAUGCUGAAGAAGAUCACAAAUGUAUCUAUCUCGGCUUAAAUGCAAAGAAAAUCCAAAAUUGAGCACCUCUAUUCUAAGAAAGAAAUUGAGAGGACCAGAUUCUUGAGAGCAAAGCAAGAGUUUAAGGAAGAUAUAAGUUGUUCAAUGAGCAAGGAAUUUGAAUUAGUGACAAUAAUAUCAUCGAUAUAAACUAAGACAACAAGCAUGAUAGAAUUGUUAUGGUAACCAAACAUUGAUGUAUCUACUUAAGAUAUGGAAAAACCCCAUUUAAAUAAUGCAGAAUUCAGUUUCGUGAACCAAGCCCAUGGAGUUUGCUUCAAGCCAUACAAGGCCUUGGUAAGCUUACAAACAAAAUUGGGCUUAGAAGGAUCCACAAAACCCGGGGGUUGUAUCUAAAAACUUGCUCAAAUAAAUCACCAUUAUGAACAUCAAGUUGUUGGAUAGACCAAUUUCUACUCAAUGCCAAAGAGAGAACCACACUAAAGGUUUAACCACAAAACUAAAGGUUUCAAAGAAAUCAAAACUGUGAGUUUGAUGGAAUCCUUUCACCACUAAAUGUGCCUUAUAACAAUCAAUAGUUCCCUUAGGUUUAAACUUCAAUUUAUAAACCCACUAACAUCCAAUGGUAUUCUGAUUAGACGGAGGAGGAACCAUGACGUAUGUUUUAUUUUUCAUAAGAGCUUCAAAUUCAAGAUGCAUAGCCUAUUGCCAUUCAGGAACUUUAGCAGUUUCCUUAAAGGAAUCUAGUUCACAAAGUGGAGGAAAAAUAGUCUUAGUAGGAGACAAAUAUAACUUGAGUUCGAAAAUGCCAUUUUUGGCACGUAUUAUCAUGAGAUGACAAGGAGUAAGAACAUAAGAGGAAAGAGGUUGGGUUGUUGGAAUUGCUGUAACCUUAGAAAAGGAAAUUGACACACUAGAAUUAGAUAUUGGAACCAACUUUGAAGGUGGACAUAAUGGGGGAGGUAAGAGGGAAGGUAUUGGAGAUGAUGGUACUACCAAGGGAAUGACACAAUGAGAGGGGGAAACAGAAUAAGAAGUUUGAACUAUGGAAGACUUAGCAAAUCGGAAAUCUAGUUCAUAAAAAAUAACAUGUCGUGAUAUAUGUAUUUUAUGAUUGGACAUGUUUAAAUAAAGAUAUCCUUUAUGCUUAGAACUAUAGCCAAUAUUUUAACGGAUUGAUAUGCAAGUUUAUGACAAUUAAAAUGAUGUAGAAAAGGAUAACAAAUGUAGCCAUAGACAUGAAGAAAAUAAUAAUUUGGUAGACAAUGGUAAAGAGUCUUAUACGGAUCGAGAAGAGAUAUUCAACAUAGAGGUAGGAAGUCUAUUAAUCAAAUAUAAGGUAGAUUGGAAAACAAAAGGUCAAUAUUUAAGUGGAAUAGAAGCACGAGCAAGCAAAGAAAGACCUAUUUCAACCACAUGUCUAUGUUUUCUCUCCACAUGACCAUUUUGUUGAAAAGUAGAUGGACAAGAUAUUCUAUGCAGAAUCCUAAAUUUACAUAAAGUAUCAAUAAAGGCUUGAAACUCCCCUCCCUAAUCAGUUUGAAGCACUCUUAACUUUAGUGUCAAAUUGAGUCUCAGUUAUCACUUUAAAUUGCAAAAAAACAGAGAUAGCUUGAUUUUUAAAAGCUAGUAGAUACAACCCCAAGAAAAUCUUGUAUGGUCAAUUGGAAAAAAGUACAAAGUAUCUUGCAUCAUUAGCACCAACAAUAACGGUAGGACCCCAUAGAUCAAAAUGUAUAAGAGCAAAAGGCUAAGAGACUCUGGAUUUAGACAAAGUAAAAGGUAAGUGAUGACUCUUUGCCAUUUGACAAGGUUCACAAAUACCUAUCCAAUGUUCUGAGGGCAUACUACAAUCACUCAAAACUUUAUUCACUAUUUUACGUGCAAGAUGGCCUAAUUAAAAUGUCAUAGAGCUACCUUAUUGGGAAGUUGUAAUGCAAAUAACAUACACGGGACCUCAAUUGCCAAGCUUGUUCUUCUAACAAUUUUAUUACCUUUAGAAUCUAUAUUUUUUUUACCAGAAACUGAAGAUGACAAUUUGUAUAAACCAUGGUUAAGGUUGCCUUGGAGAAGAGCCUUCUUUGAAGCUUGAUCCUUCAUCACAAAUCCAUUAGUAAAGAAUUCCAUAGUAACAUUAUUGUUAGUACACAACCUAUUCACACUUAUCAAAUUGGUUGUAAGUUGUGGAACAUGUAGAAUAUUCUUUAGAUUUAAAGACUGAGAAACUGACAAAAUAGUAGAGUAUCCAAUAUUUGAGAUAUUUAAGCAACUACAGUUUCCAACGACAACUUUGUCCAAACCAGCAAAUGGAGUAUGUGCAUUCAAGUUCUUGAAAUUUAAAGUUAGGUGAUAUGUAGCUCUAGUAUCCAUGUACCAACUUCCAUCUGCAAUAGUGGCCAGAGUUGCAAUCAUUGCAGCAAGAUGAGGUUACUCAAUUCUUAGGGUUCUUUUUCCUCAUUGGUUUUUGACUCGGAUGAGUUAACUUAGUUCCUAGAGCUCUUCCUCAAUGACAAACAAUUUUGAUUAGAGUGUGGCAAGGAGUUCAAUGAGCAAGCUGGUGAUUGAUCAAGGCCUCACUAGUGAUGAGGACGUCGGUGAUAGCAACAAUCUAGUUGGAGAAACGAUUUUUUCCAACACCCUCAAACACCGCAAAAAUGAUCAUAUCGUCAUCAUGAUCUUAGAUAAGAGAAACUUAAAGUUUUGUUUAUUCCAAUUUCAAAUUGAAAACAAAAUUGUAGAGCACUAGAUACAAAAUAAAAAAAAAAUAAAAGAACGAAAAAUCACUAUAGAAACCUUAGAAAACACACUAGGAAGAAAAAUCAUAGACAAACUCACAGAAGAAUUUUAUGGCUUUAGGAGUUGGAGCCGGAGUUGGAGAAGAGUCUUAAUGGACAUUGAGGAAGGACAAGAAGAGGUGUUCAACUAUAAUUUAUGUAGGCUAUAUUGUAAAGGUUGGCUUUAAAAUGUAUCUAGUAGCGACCUAAUUAGGGUUCAAAGUAUCGGCCAAGUCUGAUACGACUCGGCCGAGUCAUAUCUGUCUCGACACUUGUCGCAACGAGACCGAUACCAGAUACAAUAUAAUGCAUGAACUCGACUGGGAAUCGGUUAGACUUUGCUAAGUUUUCGAGUUAACUCGGUUGACUCGGUUAGGUUAUAAAGAAUUUUCAAAUUUUUCAUAAAAUUGAAAAUAAUAAUAAUAAUAAAUCAGAGAUUGCCCUUUCAAAAGCAAACACCUAUUUUAAAAUUUUAAACCAUCAAUGAGAAGAUCAAAGAAGACCAAGAAGAAAAAACCUAACCUGUGACUCGUUCGGAAAUAAGUGGAGAAACCACCAAAGGAUGAGGGCAUAAUUUAGGAUUUACUUACUUGAUUUUCCUCAAAAUCGAGCAUUACCGAAGGGUGGAGCUUUGGUGUCGGCGAUGGUGACUCAUCAAGUGGAUUGAAUCUUUCACCGGGGACAUCAACAAGACAACCCCCUCAUAGUCAGAUUGCUCCCCCUCCCGUGUUAGGUCUUGCACGGUUGCAAAUUUGCGAUUGUAGGUGGUAUCGUCUAUUUUGGGUCUUGACAGUAAUGAUGACGUGCGAGGGUGGGAGAUUGGGAGCUUAAAUUAGUAAAGUAAAAAAUUGCAUUUUAUAUGGAUUUACAUGGAGAAUUGAGUCCCUGAUUUACAUGGAAAAUACCUUUCAUAUACACACUUUAAUAUGAUUUAAUAGUAACAUAUUAGGAGAAUUGAGUACCCGAUUUGCUAAAGUAAAAUGAUAUGAAAGGUAUAGAUGAAGUUUAAUGAUAAAUUAAAGUGUUUAUAUAGCAAAGUGAAAAUUAAAUCCUCAAUUUUUAAUAUUAUCACAAAAUAACUUUGAGCUAAAUGUGAAAAAAAAAUGGUUUUAUUAAAAUUUUCACCUUAUUUAAUUAUAUCUAUUUUAUUUUUUGAUUUAUAUAAUAUUUUUAUAAUUUUUUGAAAAUUUUAAUUAUCUUAUUUUACGUAUCGUCCAAUACCGAACCGAAACACUGAAACCAAUAUGCCUCGUGAUCCUCCGAGUCAAUGAUCGAUACCACGACUUUGAACCAUGGACCCAAUGGAAGUGGAGUCUAUAGGAACAUCUAUGGUAACGAUCCAAAAAUUAUUGCAGGCAUAAGAGAAUAUAUAAUAGCACUUUCAACAGUAAUCAUGACUAUGUAUCUUUCCUGGAAAUUUCCCACCAAUCCCAAUCCCAACCCCUUUAGAUGCAUGUGGUUGGAAUAUGCAUGAAGCUAUAUAUUACGUGGUUGGGAUAUGAAUGAGGCUAUAUACUAUUUUUAGUUGUGGAUUUUCUUAGCCCCUACUAAAACUAUGUCGCCAUUUCCUAUUCUUCUUGUAAUGUCAAGUUGGAAAGUUAAAUUUAAUUUAAAAACUUUCUAAAUAUUAAAUUUAGAGUUAGUUUCUAAAUGUUAAGGAGAACAUUUUAUUUUGAAUGAUUAUUUAGUUUUUGUAUUUGAGUAUUCAAGUCCUGAAAGGUCUCUAUAUUUCAUUAUUAAGAUUUUCUAUUUAGACAAAUGUGAGUAUAUUUAUAAACAAAAAAUUAUAUAAUAUAUACAUUUUUUAUAAAAAAAAAAAGCAAUAAAAUACAAUAAAAUUUUAAUUCUCUCCUAUUUUUAUCUUUUUUAUAAGUGUGUGUUUAUCUUUCAUCUAGAUAACUCACACAAUACUAACACAAUGAGAGUAAAAGGAGAAGGGCAAUAAAGAGUUGGGGCCGGAGAUCAUUGGAGGAACGGGUCAACUGUAGGCCGGUUGUCAAUGGGCUCAUAUAAGUAACAAAAAUUGGAAAUGGUUUCUAUAUCUUAGUGUCGUGUCUAGAAGACGACAAUCUACCUGUCAGUGUGCAGCAGAAGAGAAAGCGUGAUAUCUACUUAGAGUCAAAACAAAGGGAACCAGCUCGCAAUUCCUCCGAUACAUCAUUACCGACGUCAUAGCUCUAUUCCCCCAAUUCGUCACUACCAACGUCAUUCUAUCUCCAUUACGCAUUAUUUAAAGAGUCCCCAUGCAGAAGCUGUUCGAAACACAAGUCAGCUUUGACACAACCCCACUUCAUUGUGAUAACCUAUCCGGCACAGGUCCCUGUCCAAAGACCCAUCUUACUCUUUACAUUGUGGCCACUGAUUUGGUAUCUAAUCUCAGGCAAAAUUCACUGGUUUGAUGAAGGUUAUAGAACAAAACUUGUGUUAUUCUUAUCUUUGGUUUUGAUGAACUUUAAAGCAUUUAAAAAGAUUCAACUGGUAAGAAGUAUUUUUGCCUUGGGAAGAUGUUGGUUAUGGAUUAAAAGCAAAAAAGACCCUUGUACAUAUUUUUGGGUACCUGUCAAGCAAAUUAAUGCACAUCCGAACAUCACAACUGUUGUCUCUUAAAUUCUUCCAAUUGACCUGCUUUCGUCUUAUUGAGCGUCUGGGUUACUUGAUAAUGCAAAAACUCAUACAGUUAUUUCGAUAAAUUAAGAGCCUCGGGCAUCAAGGAAAAUCUAUUAUUACUUAAUCGAUAAAUUAAUAAUUUAUUAAUUUAAUUGCUUAUUAAUGAGAUCUCUUGAAUAAUUCUAUUAUGGAACAAGACACCAUAACAAUAUUAAAUAAAUUUUUGUCAUAGUAUGAGAAUACCACACUAGAUGUAAUAUGAGAAUGUCAUAUUUAAUUAGGGCCUUGGCUUAAAAUAAGUAAAUAAAUAAUUAAUAAUUAAAAUAUAAAUACUAGACUCACAUUUUAAACAAACACUUCUAAACUCUCAGACUCUACAAAGAACAUACACAAAGAAAUCUAGGUUCCAGAUUUGAGUGAAGAGAAAGAGAAUUUGAUUUUUUUUGUUCUUUUGUGAAAAUUUCAUGGUAAGUGAUACUUCUUAAAGUUUUCUUUUUUUUUUUUUAUAGUUUUUCUUCUUAGAAACUUUAAUUUCCUAAUAAGAUUAAAAAAGAAUUAAUGAAAACAAGAAAUUAAGAAAAUAAAUUGAAAGUAGUUAAAUCUAGAAUGAUAGAAUAAUAAUAAUAAUAAUAAUAAAAACAAUAGAAAGUUUGAUGUGUUAUUGCCGAAACCUAGAGGAAAAUUCUAUAUGAAAUAGUGGAGUUUAUGUUUUUUUUUUAAUAUAUAUAUAUAUAUAUAUAUAGGAUUUUUGGGAGAAAUAGGUAUCCAUGUAAAUAGAAAUUCUUAUGUGUAGGAGAUAAUAAUUGUAUUAAAAAAAAAUUAAUAGACUAAAACCUGGAGAUUGGUAUUCAUACAGUAAGAUUCCAAGUAUAUAGAAAGUAGAAUUACAUGGAACCUAAAAUUUGGUGCACAAUGUGAUUCUUUAUUUAAAACAAAUAGAAUUUAGUGCAUAGUAGGAUUCCUUGUUCAAAUGAAAUAGAAUUUGUUGGGAGAUACAUGGACUAAUAUUAAUUGUGAAGUUAAGAUGUAUUGUGUAUUGGUGUGAUACUGGAAGUGCAUGAGACAAACUUUUGGAGUGUUGGUAUAGGAAAUAAAGUUUUUUUAAAAAAAACUAAUCUAAUAUAAAAAUAUUGGAGGCCUCGAAUUUUAUUAUGUUAGGAUUCCAUAAUGAAUUAAAUUAAAUCAAAUUAAAUUAAUGUAAUUUAGAUUAGAUUAAUUAUAAGUGAGGGAAUUGAAAAGUUCAAGACAAUAAUUUCAAGACAAUUAAGAAAUGGAAAUUUGAUGUUUUUCCUAGAUAAAUGAAUAAUUUAUAUAUGUGUUACAAAACUAUACAUAUUUAGAAUAUAAUUAUUAUUAGAACAUUUGUUUAAAGAACCCUUAGAAUUUCUCAGGUAAUUCUUAGGAAAUUCUACUGCUUUAAUAUUUGGAGUUUGAGUCCAAUUAAGGGGACUAACUAAAUUUUUUUUUUUAUUUUAUAAAUAGUCAAAUAUAAUUUUCUUUUGAAAGUUUUAAGAAAUUGGAAAAUAAUUUUGUUAUAUUGUAUAUGUUUGCUUACACGUGUGAUAUGAAUUUUUUUGUUUAAAAGAAAAAAAAAAUUAGGACUAGUAAUCUAAUCCUUGUUAAUAAAGGAAAGUGUUUUGACUUUCAUUACCUUUGGUGAAGGUAAUGAUAAUUUGUAAACCCAAUCAUUAGAUUUGUCCUGGCUCCGCCCACCAUCAUGUAAGGAACACAUGAGGUUAGCUAUUUCUAUUAGUCUCAUUACAAUGGGCACCUCUCUAAGUCCAAAUUUUGAUGGGCAUUUUCUGUAAAAAGUUAGAAUUGUUCAUUUAAUAUGUUUGCAAAAUAAUGUUAUGCUUAAAUUAUUUUAAAAAUGACACAUGUAAUAUUAGUUGUUUUGUUGUGUUUAAAAGCAUGCUAUAAAGAUUCCUUAUUUCAUUUUUGGAAACACGCAUACUUGAUUUUCAUACCCCUCAUCGGACUUUAAACUCACUCCUUUUACUAAAAUGUUUUUAGAUAUACAUCUAAUUCUAGCAAUGAGUGAUUCGAGUAAGAGGGUUUUUCAUAGAUCCAUUUAGUUCUUAGUUUUAAGUUUAAUGUCAUAAUAACAUUUUGUUAUUAUAGUUUAAUUUAUCAUUACUAUUUUAGAUAAUAUGUUAUAUUUGAAUUAUAGAUUUCGUGCGAAAGAAUAAUUUUUUAUUAUUUCUUUGAAGAUAUAUGAUCAUUUUGAAAGUUUGCUUCUAAAAUGACCUUGGUGUUUAGCUUACGGGUCAGUAUCGUUAUACUAGACCUUCUAUUUGUAUUAUGAAACUACAUAGAUUUUUCCAUAAUAUAUUAUAUUAUAAAUUUAUCAAAUUAUUAGUUUAGCAUGAUGGCCCUAGGUUCAUAUUGAUUAAAAAAUUAUUUAAUUGAGGUUCUCUAUUAAUUAAAUAUUAAUUUAAUUGUCAGAUACUCUUAUUAUUAUUAUUUUUUAUAAAAUAUUCAAAAAUAUUCUUUGUUAUAUCUUUAACUUAAAAAUAUUUUAAAAAAAACAAGAAUAAAAAAACAUCACCAAACAAGCCCUUAUUUAUUUGUUUGUUUUUUAUGUUUUGUUUGCUAUUGUGGUUUUGUUUAGUUGUCAAGAAGUGUGAGACAGUUGAAGAAAUUGAAGUUUUUUUUUUAUAUAUAUAUUUUUUUAAUAGUAUAGGCAAAAAUUCCAAAGGUUUGAAUUGCUUCAAUUUGUUUGUUUGACUUAUGAGAAAAGGUGGGACAAAUACUUCAAUGAGUUUAUAAUCAUCAGUAGUUAACUUACUUCUCUAUCGAAAUGGUUUAAUCAUUCACACUUAAAUUAAAAGCUGGAUUAUCAAAUCCAUUUCCCUUCAUGGAAACUAGUAACUUGAUCCAUCUACUGGUCAUUUAUGGCUUGAGGUCUUGUGCCAUGCACUCUUAAGUUGAUUUCUAGCUAGAAGUCGUAGUGGUAGGGUAUUCAGGAAUCCUUGUCAUAAAAUGUUGUAAAAUUUAUUUUGUGCAAAUUGUUAAGCUACAACUCAAACCAAGGAGUUAUAUACCAUCUAGAUUGCUUGGAUGAAGAAUAUAGACCAAAUCUAUGUAUGUAUGAUAGUUGUUAAUAGGUAGCAAUAGUGGAGUUAAGCUUCAUAGGAUACUGUUUACUGAUAAAGUUUACAUCUUAUAUAGGAUGGAACGAGUUUUUGAACUUUUGUUAACAUAGAAAAACUAAUUGGGUUAGAAUUCUGGCAUAGGUUUUUGCUAUGGUGAAUCAAACAUUCGGGGGACAUCUACCUAUGACACUCCCAAGACAACUAAUUAGUUCUUCACUAGAAUGAGAUGAUCGAUCUCUAUUUGAGCAAUUGGUUAGAUUAAUCCGAUAACUUUUUUUUUAAUUCUCCCAAUAAGAAAACCUUUCUUAAUUAUUCCAACAUGAGAAAUUUUUUUUCUACCUAUGGUUUUUUCAAUGACUAAAUAUAUUUAUUCCUUAGUAUCUAGUACUUUAAGAAAAACAAAAGUUAAAUUGAUUUUAUCAAAAUCUAAAACUUAAUUAAGUCAGAUAAUUAAAAUAUAAUUAAUUGAAAGUUAUCUUAAGCACAUUAAAUUUUACCUCUUACCACCUAAAAUGAUUUCAAAUUUUAUAGUUGUGAUAGAUCCAAGUUGUCCGAAAAGGUCUAUAGAAUAUGCAUUCUUUUACUUAUAAACAAUGUCUUAAAUAGUCGAGGUAGAGUUAUAUAGGGUCAUGGAUUUCUUAUUUUAUUCGAUGUGGGAAAUCAUAAUACACACUUAUCUCCUGUGAAGAGGGACCGUAACCAGGUUGGCUCAUAUAAAAUAACUAAAUUGGAAAUUGGUCUCUAGAUCUUAACUUUGGGUCGCGUCUAGAGGACGACAAACUACCGGUCAGUGUACAGCAGAAGAGAAAGUGAGACAGGAUACUUAUACAUCUCUUGAAAUUAAUUAGUCUUUGAGUCAAAACAAAGAGGAAGCAGCUCACAAUUCCUCCAAAACAUCAUUGCAAACGUCAUAGCUCUGUUUCCCCAAAUUCGUCAUUACAAACGUCAUUCCAUACUCUGCCUUCCUUAUUUAAAGAGUCCCAUGCAGAUGCAGAUGCAGUUCGAUACACAAGUCAGAUUUGAUCAUCCUCUACAUAGACCCAACCGAAGUAUCUCCACUUCAUCUUCUUCCCCUACAAUGACACAACCCCACUUCAUUGUGAUAACCUAUCCCGCACAAGGCCACAUCAACCCUUCUCUCCAACUGGCUAAGCGCCUCAUACGUGCUGGUGCCCAUGUCACAUUCGUCACUAGCACCUAUGCCAGUGAGCGCAUGACCAAAACCCCCACCAUGGAUGGUUUAAAAUUUGUCACAUUCCCGGACGGCUGCGACAGUGGCCUCAAGCAAAGCGAUGCCCUCCAAGGCUUCAUGUCUGAGCUUGAGCGUCUUGGCUCCCAAGCUCUUACCGACCUCCUCAUAGCCAGCGCUAAUGAAGGUCGUCCCGUUACUUGCAUAAUCUACGGCAUCCUGAUUCCUUGGGUAGCAGAGGUGGCGCAUAGUCUUCACAUCCCCUCCGCACUUUUUUGGAGUCAACCUGUCUCUGUUUUUAAUAUCUAUUAUUAUUAUUUUUGUGGCUAUGGAGAGGUCAUUCGCAAGAAAGUCAGUGACUCCUCGCCUUCCAUUGAAUUACCAGGACUGCCCUUGCUCGGUAGCCGUGACAUUCCCUGUUUCCUACUCCCCUCAAAUGCAAAUGAAUACAACUUUGUCCUUUCAGCGUUUCAGAAGCACGUAGAGAUGCUCCACCGUGACACCAACCCAACGGUACUGAUAAACACUUUCGAUGCAUUGGAACCAGAGGCCCUAAGGGCCGUCAGUAAGUUUAAGUCGAUUGGAGUUGGACCCUUGUUUCCAACCGCUUUCUUGGGUGGAAAAGAUCCAUCCGAUACUUCAUUUGGAGGUGAUCUGUUCCGUCGUUCAAAGGAUUAUAUUGAAUGGCUGAACUCAAAGCCUGAAUCUUCUGUCAUUUAUGUGUCAUUUGGAAGCCUCGCGGUGUUAUCGAAGCAACAGUCAGAGGAGAUUGCUCGUGGAUUGCUGGACAGUGGCCGGCCUUUCCUGUGGGUCAUAAGAGCCAAGGAGAAGGGAGAAGAGGAGAAAGAAGAAGAUAAACUAAGUUGCUACGCAGAAUUAGAACAACAAGGUAUGAUAGUACCAUGGUGUUCUCAGGUUGAGGUUCUCUCAAAUCCAUCACUGGGUUGUUUCGUGACUCAUUGUGGGUGGAAUUCAACCUUGGAGAGCUUGGCUUCUGGGGUGCCAGUUGUGGCAUUUCCUCAGUGGACCGACCAAUCCACGAAUGCAAAGCUAGCCGAAGACGUGUGGAAAACGGGUGUACGGGUGACCGUGAACCAAGAAGGAAUAGUUGAAAGCGAUGAGAUUAAGAGGUGCUUGGAAUUGGUCAUGGGAGAUGGAGAGGAGGCGAAAGAAAUGAGAAGGAAUGCAAAGAAAUGGAAGGGUUUGGCAAGGGAGGCUGUGAUGGAAGGUGGAUCAUCUGACAAGAAUCUUAAGAAUUUUAUGGAUGAGGUCAUACAAGGUUACUAGCUAGAUAUUGUGGUUGUAUCUCUUGGAGUUUAUGUUAAGACUCCCCGAUUAAUUUAAAUAUUUUACAAGAAGAUUUUUAUUAUUUAUGAUGUUAAUACAAGUAGUAGUAUUAAUUAAUGGUAGAGGGCAUAUCUAAAAUUAUGGGAGAUUCAUUGCUUCCUGAAGGCCCUAUCACAAAGGAUCUGUCAAAUGCGUGGCUAAGGUGCUGUUUGGUAAAUGUCCGUUACCAGCCAAAAUUUUGCAAUUAUUGCUAAUGGGAAUCAGGGAAACCCCAAACUGGCCUUGAUGGUCCUUGCGUGAAGACCCAUCCAAUUCUUUACAUUGUGGCCACUGAUUUGGUGUCUUAUCCUCUCAUGCCCAUCACUUCAUGUUUACAAAUUGAUAUUGUAUUCAUAGCUAUUUUUUAUGAAGGUUCAAUUGGCAAGAAGUAUUUUUGCCUUGGGAAGAUGUUGGUUAUGGAUUUAAAGCAAAAUAAAAGAUUAAAAAAAUGAUCCUUGUACAAAUUUUUGGGUGCCUCUAUUAAUUAAGUGAAUAUUAUUAUUUAAUUGAUAAAUUAAUAAUUUAUUAAUUUAAUUACUUAUUAAUUAGAUCUCUGGAAUAAUUCUAUUAUGGAACCUAUCUUGCACUAAGAAGCAUCCAUAGCGAUAAUAAUAUUAAAUAAAUUUUUGUUAUAGUACAAGAAUGUUACAUCAGACCUUUUUUUUUUUUUUUUUCAUAUUAGGAAUAGUUAAAGAUGAGAUUUAAGUAAACAUAAGUUUUAAGAAAAAAUAACACAUAUAUUUUACGAAGGAUUCUUGAUAAAACAUAUGAAUUUAAUUAUAUAUUAGAAAAUUAUUAAUUUUUAUAAUAUGUGGAUUUUAUAUGAAACUACAUAGAUUUUUUUUAUAAUGUAUUAUUUUAUAAAUUUAUCAAAUUAUUAGUUUAGCACGAUGACCCCAAAUUUAGAUUAAUUAAAAAAAUAUUUAAUUGAAGUUCUUAAUUAAUUAAAUAUUAAUUUAUUAUAAAGUUUUAUUGUAUUUUAUUUUCAUGUUCUGAAAACUAGUCGAUUUGAUUGGUUUGAGCAUUGAUUGACUAUGUAUUUUACAUAUGAGAUCGAUUAUGAGUUGCACUUUCAUCCCAAGGUAUUUAAAAAUUAGGAAAAUCAAUCCCAAGGUAUCUAUUUUACUUUUCUUAGUCUAUUCACCAUUGUCCAAACACUCCAUAAGUGGAAUGUAACUUGGAGGGGCUUGAAUAUGCAGAAUUUUAUAAUUUUGCACAUUAAUGUCUCAGAGUGUUAAAAUCUUUUACAACUAAUUGUAGAUAAGUUUAGUAUUGACAAAUAAUUUUAUUACAAUUAAAUUAUUUUUUAAUUUAUAAAAAGGUUAAAAUAAAGAUAUUUAAGAAAUAUAGUACCUUAACAAUUAAAAAUAACAUUGGUUGAUGAUAUCUAAGAAAUUCAAUGUUUUCUUCAACCUAAAAUGAAUAUAAAAAUUUGGUAUGAGGAUUGUUUGCUCGACUAUUGAAACUUAUUGACAACAUAGGAAGAGACAAAACUUUUGGGGAUAUAUUAAUAGAGUGAGGAAUUUGGUACUUGAUUCAUAGAGUAAAAGUUGAACAAAAGCAUCAAGAAACAUCGGGGUUGGAAAUGAUAGUGCACUUUUUAAAAGUCAUAGGUGGAAAGAGGGAAAAUUAGAACAGAUGAACCUUAAUUUUUUGGUAUUUUUGAUAGGUGUUUAGUAAAAUAAUUUAAUAUUACAAUUUAUAGUUAAAAAUGACUUAGUAUAUAAGCAGUUAAAAUGAUUUAGGGCUUGUUUGACCGUGUUUUUUAAAAUUUUCUUUUAAAAUAGAGAAUAAAAAUAGUGAACAUCAAGUUGUUGGAUGGACCAAUUUCUACUCAAUGCCAAAGACAGAACCACACGAAUAGUAGUUAGUUUAACCACAAAACUAAAGGUUUCAAGGAAAUCAAAACCGUGAGUUUGAUGAAAUCCUUUCACCGCUAAAUGUGCCUUAUAACAAUCAAUAGUUCCAUUAGGUUUAAACUUCAAUUUAUAAACCCAGUAACAUCUAAUGGUAUUCUGAUUAGACCAAGGAAGAAUGAUGACCUAUGUUUUAUUUUUCAUAAGAGCUUCAAAUUCAAGAUGCAUAGCCUAUUGCCAUUUAGGAACUUUAGCAAUUUCCUUAAAGGAAUUCAGUUCACAAAGUGGGGGAAAAAUAGUCUUAGUAGGAGACAAAAAUAACUUGAGUUCGAAAAUGCCAUUUUUGGCACGCAUUAUCAUGAGAUGACAAGUAUAGUAUGAACAUAAGAGGAAAGAGGUUGGGUUGUUGGAAUAGGUAUAACCUUAGAAAAGGAAAUUGGCACACUAGAAUUAGAUAUUGGAACCAACUUUGAAGGUGGACAUAAUGGGGGAGGUAAGAGGGAAGAUAUUGGAGAUGAUGGUACUACCAAGGGAAUGACACAAUGAGAGAGGGAAACAUAAUAAGGAGUCUGAACUAUGGAAGACUUAGCAAAUGGGAAAUCUAGUUCAUAAAAAAUAACAUGUUGUGAUAUAUGUAUUUUAUGAUUGGACAUGUUUAAAUAAAGAUAUUCUUUAUGCUUAGAACUAUAGUUGAUAUUUUAACGGAUUGAUAUGCAAGUUUAUGACAAUUAAAAGGAUGUAGAAAAGGAUAACAAAUGCAACCAUAGACAUGAAGAUAAUAAUAAUUUGGUAGACAAUGGUAAAGAGUCUUAUACGGAUCAAGAAGAGAUAUUCAACAUAGAGGUAGGAAGUCUAUUAAUCAAAUAUAAGGUAGAUUGGAAAGCAAAAGGUCAAUAUUUAAGUGGAAUAGAAGCAUGAGCAAGCAAAGAAAGACAUAUUUCAACCACAUGUCUAUGUUUUCUCUCCACAUGACCGUUUUGUUGAAAAGUAGAUGGACAAGAUACUCUAUGCAGAAUCCUAAAUUUACAUAAAGUAUCAAUAAAGGCUUGAAACUCCCCUCCCUAAUUAGUUUGAAGCACUCUAACUUUAGUGUAAAAUUGAGUCUCAAUUAUCACUUUAAAUUGCAAAAAAGCAGAGAUAGCUUGAUUUUUAGAAGCUAGUAGAUACAACCCCAAGAAAAUCUUGUAUGGUCAAUAAGAAAAAAGUACAAAGUAUCUUGCUCCAUUAGCACCAACAAUAGCGGUAGGACCCCAUAGAUCAAAAUGUAUAAGAGCAAAAGGCUAAGAGACUCUAGAUUUAGACAAAGUAAAAGGUAAGUGAUGACUCUUUGCCAUUUGACAAGGUUCACAAAUACCUAUCCAAUGUUUUGAGGGCAUACUAUAAGCACUCAAAACUUUAUUGACUAUUUUACGUGCAAGAUGACCUAAUUAAAAUGCCAUAGAACUACCUUAUUGGGAAGUUGUAAUGCAAAUAACAUACACAGGACCUCAAUUGCCAAGCUUGUUCUUCUAACAAUUUUAUUACAAUUGGAAUCUAUAUUUUUUACCAGAAGCUGAAGAUGACAAUUUGUAUAAACCAUGGUUAAGGUUGCCUUGGAGAAGAGCCUUCUUUGAAGCUUGAUCCUUCAUCACAAAUCCAUUAGUAAAGAAUUCCACAGUAACAUUAUUGUCAGUACACAACUUAUUCACACUUAUCAGAUUGGUUGUAAGUUGUGGAACAUGUAAAAUAUUCUUUAGAUUUAAAGACUGAGAAACCGACAAAAUAGUAGAGUAUCCAAUAUUUGAGAUAUUUAAGCAAUUACCGUUUCCAAUGACGACUUUGUCCAAACUAGCAAAUGGAGUAUGUGCAUUCAAGUUGUUGAAAUUUAGAGUUAGGUGAUAUGUAGCUCUAGUAUCCAUGUACCAACUUCCAUCUCCAAUAGUGGCCAGAGUUGCAAUCAUUGCAGCAAGAUGAGGUUACUCAAUUCUUAGGGUUCUUCUUUCUCAUUGGUUUUUGACUCAGAUGAGUUAACUUAGUUCCUAGAGCUCUUCCUCAAUGACAAACAAUUCUGAUUAGAGUGUGGCAAUGAGUUCAAUGAGCAAGCUGGUGAUUGGUCAAGGCCUCACCAGUGAUGAGGAUGUUGGUGAUAGCAACAAUCUAGUUGGAGAAAUGAUUUUUUCCAACACCUUCAAACACCGUAAAAAUGAUCAUAUCAUCAUCAUGAUCUUAGAUAAGAGAAACUUAAAGUUUUUUUUUUUAUUUCAAUUUCAAAUUCAAAACAAAAUUGCAGAGCACUAGAUACAAAAAAAAGAAAAAAGAAAAUAAAAGAACAAAAAAUCACUAUAGAAACCUUAGAAAACACACUAGGAAGAAAAAUCAUAGACAAACUCACAGAAGAAUUUUAUGGCUUUAGGAGUCGGAGCCGGAGCUAGAGAAGAGUCUUAAUGGACAUUGAGGAGGGACAAGAAGAGGUGUUCAACUAUAAUUUAUAUAGGCUAUAUAUAUUGUAAAUGUUGGCUUUAAAAUGUAUCUGGUAGUGACCCAAUGGAAGUGGAGUCUAUAGGAACAUCUAUGGUAGCGAUCCAAAAAUUAUUGCAGUUAUAGGAGAAUAUAUAAUAGCACUUUCAACAGUAAUCGUGACUAUGUAUAUUUCCUGGAAAAUUUCCCACCAAUCCCAAUCUCAAUCCCUUUAGAUGCAUGUGGUUGGAAUAUGCAUGAGGCCAUAUAUUAUGCGGUUGGGAUAUGAAUGAGGCUAUAUAAUAUUUUUAGUUGUGGAUUUUCUUAGCCCCUACUAAAACUAUAUUGCCAUUUCCUAUUCUUCUUGUAAUGUCAAGUUGGAAAGUCAAACUUAAUUUAAAAACUUUUUAAAUAUUAAACUUAGAGUUAGAGUUAGGUGGUGUUUGUUUUUUUUUUUUGUUGAAAACAAUUUGUUUUCAGAAUUUAAGUCGUUUGUUUUUCUAUUUUUUCAUGACUUAUUAUAUACUUUUUACCAAACAGAAAAAACCAAAAUAUGUAGUUUUUUCUAAAUAGAAAAAAUAAUAUGUUCAUUUUUUUUACUUUUUAAUACUUAAUAGAAAUAAAAUACUACAAAAACAAACAACCUAAUAUUUAACAUUAUUAAGUAUUAAGGUUCUAUUUAGAAUUAAAUAAAAAAAAAUAAAUGCCACAUUAGUUUCUAAAUGUUAAGGAGAACAUUUUAUUUUGAAUGAUUAUUUAGUGUUUGUAUUUGAGUAGUUAAGUCGUCAAAGGUCUCUGUAUUUGAUUAUUAAGAGUUUCUAUUUGGAUAAAUGUGAGUAUAUUUAUAAACAAAAAUUCAUAUAUAUAAUAUAUAUAUAUAUAUUUUAAAAAAGCAAUAGAAUACAAUAAAUUUUUAAUUCUCUCCUAUUUUAUCUUUUUUAUAAGUGUGUGUUUCUCUUUCAUCUAGACAACUCACACAAUACUAACACAAUGAGAGUAAAAGGAGAAGGGCAACAAAGAGUUGGAGCCGGAGAUCAUUGGAGGAACGGGUCAACUGUAGGCCGGUUGUCCAUGGGCUCAUAUAAGUAACAAAAAUUGGAAAUGGUUUCUAUAUCUUAGUGUCGUCUAGAAGACGACAAUCUACCUGUCAGUGUGCAGCAGAAGAGAAAGCGUGAUAUCUACUUCGAGUCAAAACAAAAGGGAACCAGCUCGCAAUUCCUCCGAUACAUCAUUACCGACGUCAUAGCUCUAUUCCCCCAAUUCGUCACUACCAACUUCAUUCUAUCUCCAUUACGCAUUAUUUAAAGAGUCCCCAUGCAGAUGCUGUUCGAAACACAAGUCAGCUUUGACACAACCCCACGUCAUUGUGAUAACCCAUCCGGCACAGGUCCCUGUCCAAAGACCCAUCUUACUCUUUACAUUGUGGCCACUGAUUUAGUAUCUAAUCUCAGGCAAAAUUCACUGGUUUGAUGAAGGUUAUAGAACAAAACUUGUGUUAUUCUUAUCUUUGUUUUUGAUGAACUUUAAAGCAUUUAAAAAGAUUCAACUGGUAAGAAGUAUUUUUGCCUUGGGAAGAUGUUGGUUAUGGAUUAAAAGCAAAAAAGACCCUUGUACAUAUUUUUGGGUACCUGUCAAGCAAAUUAAUGCACAUCCGAACAUCACAACUGUUGUCUCUUAAAUUCUUCCAAUUGACCUGCUUUCGUCUUAUUGAGCGUCUGGGUUACUUGAUAAUGCAAAAACUCAUACAGUUAUUUCGAUAAAUUAAGAGCCUCAGGCAUCAAGGAAAAUCUAUUAUUACUUAAUCGAUAAAUUAAUAAUUUAUUAAUUUAAUUGCUUAUUAAUGAGAUCUCUUGAAUAAUUCUAUUAUGGAACAAGACACCAUAACAAUAUUAAAUAAAUUUUUGUCACAGUGUAAGAAUGCCGCAAUAGAUGUAAUAUGAGAAUGUGAUAUUUAAUUAUGGGCCUCCGCUUAAAAUAAGUAAAUAAAUAAUUAAUAAUUAAAAUUUAAAUAAAAUAAAUAAUUAAUUAAUAAUUAAAAUACAAAUACUAGACUCACAUUCUGAGCAGCCGCUUCUAAACUCUUAUACGCUACAAAAAAACAUACACAAAGAAAUCUAGGAUUCUAGAUUUAAGUGAAGAGAAAGAGGAUUUGAUCUUUUUGUUCUUUCUCGAAAAUUUCAUGGUAAGUGAUACUUCUUAAAGAUUUUUUUUUUCAGUUUUUCUUCUUAGAAACUUUAAUUUCCUAAUAAGAUUCAGAAAUAAUUAAUAAAAACAAGAAAUUAAGAAAUACAUUGAAAGUAAUUAAAUCUAAUAUGAUAGAAACCUAAUAAUAAUAAUAAAAAUAAUAGAAAGUUUGAUGUAUUAUUUCUGAUACCUAAAGGAAAAUUCUAUAUGAAAUUGUGGAGUUAAUGUUUUUUUUUUUAAAUAUAUAAUAAUAACAAAAAACAAUAGAAAGUUUGAUGUGUUAUUGCGUAAACCUAGAAGAAAAUUCUAUAUGAAAUAGUGGAGUUAAUGUUUUUAAAAUAUAUAUAUAUAUAUAUACUAGAAAUUCUUAUGUGUAGGAGAUAAGAAUUCUAUUGGAGGCCUCCAAUUUUAUUAUGUUAGGAUUCCAUAAUGAAUUAAAUUAAAUUAAAUUAAUAUAAUUUAGAUUAGAUUAAUUAUAACUGUGGGAAUUGAAAAGCUUAGGAUGACAAUUAAGAAAUGGAAAUAUGAUAUUUUUUCUAGAUAAAUGAAUAAUUUAUAUAUAUGUUAAAAAACUAUAUAUAUUUAGAAUAUAAUUAUUAUUAGAACAUUAGUUUAAAGAACCCUUAUAAUUUCUCAGGUAAUUCAAAGGAAAUUCUACCGCUUUAAUAUUUGGAGUUUAAGUCCAAUUAAGGGGACAAAUUAAAAAAUAUUUAAGUAUAAUUUUCUUUUGAAAGUUUCAAGAAAUUGGGAAAUAAUUUUGUUAUAAGGUAUAUGUUUGCUUAGAUGUGUGAUAUGAAUUUUUUUUUGUUUAAAAGAAAAAAAAAAUAGGACUAGUAAUCUAAUCCCUGUUAAUAAAGGAAAGUGUUUUGACUUUGGGUCAUAUAAAGUAACUAAAUUGGAAAAUGGUCUCUAGAUCUUAACUUUGGGUCGCGACUAGAAGACGACAAACUACCGGUCAGUGUACAGCAGAAGAUAAAGUGAGACAGGAUACUUAUACAUCUCUUGAAAUUAAUUUGUCUUUGGUCAAAACAAAGAGGAAGCAGCUCACAAUUCCUCCAAAACAUCAUUGCAAACGUCAUAGCUCUGUUUCCCCAAAUUCGUCAUUCCAUACUCUGCCUUCCUUAUUUAAAGAGUUCCAUGCAGAUGCAGAUGCAGUUCGAAACACAAGUCAGAUUUGAUCAUCCUCUGCAUAGACCCAACCGAAGUAUCUCCACUUCAUCUUCUUCCCCUACAAUGACACAACCCCAUUUCAUUGUGAUAACCUAUCCGGCACAAGGCCACAUCAACCCUUCUCUCCAACUGGCUAAGCGCCUCAUACGUGCUGGUGCCCAUGUCACAUUCGUCACUAGCACCUAUGCCGGUGAGCGCAUGGCCAAAACCCCAACCAUGGAUGGGUUAAAAUUUGUCACAUUCCCGGAUGGCUGCGACAGUGGCCUCAAGCAAAGCGAUGCCCUCCAAGGCUUCAUGUCUGAGCUUGAGCGUCUUGGCUCCCAAGCUCUUAUCGGCCUCCUCAUAGCCAGCGCUAAUGAAGGUCGUCCCGUUACUUGCAUAAUCUACGGCAUCCUGAUUCCUUGGGUAGCAGAGGUGGCGCGUAGUCUUCACAUCCCCUCCGCACUUUUUUGGAGUCAAC
Molecule: long non-coding RNA, 38480 nt
Filed under: Vitis vinifera (wine grape)
Lineage: Eukaryota; Viridiplantae; Streptophyta; Magnoliopsida; Vitales; Vitaceae
Description: long non-coding RNA (VVIN_LNC001544)
Source: RNAcentral